AUCUGCUACCAUACCACCUUGAUGAGCAACAACCUUGUCUGAUCUUUGAAGCUAAGUAGGGUUGGCGUGGUUACCGUUUGGAUGCGAGACCACCUAGGAAUAUGGGUACUGUAGGCU
This 117-nucleotide ribosomal RNA is filed under the name Mesocricetus auratus (golden hamster). The record is from RNAcentral. Lineage: Eukaryota; Metazoa; Chordata; Mammalia; Rodentia; Cricetidae.